AAUGGGCGAAAGCCUGACGGAGCAACGCCGCGUGAGGGAUGAAGGCCUCUGGGCUGUAAACCUCUUUUAUCAAGGAAGAAGAUCUGACGGUACUUGAUGAAUAAGCCACGGCUAAUUCCGUGCCAGCAGCCGCGGUAAUACGGGAGUGGCAAGCGUUAUCCGGAAUUAUUGGGCGUAAAGCGUCCGCAGGCGGCCCUUCAAGUCUGCUGUUAAAAAGUGGAGCUUAACUCCAUCAUGGCAGUGGAAACUGUCGGGCUUGAGUGUGGUAGGGGCAGAGGGAAUUCCCGGUGUAGCGGUGAAAUGCGUAGAUAUCGGGAAGAACACCAGUGGCGAAGGCGCUCUGCUGGGCCAUCACUGACGCUCAUGGACGAAAGCCAGGGGAGCGAAAGGGAUU
Molecule: ribosomal RNA, 394 nt
Filed under: uncultured Gammaproteobacteria bacterium
Lineage: Bacteria; Pseudomonadati; Pseudomonadota; Gammaproteobacteria
Description: bacterial SSU rRNA
Rfam family: Bacterial small subunit ribosomal RNA
Source: RNAcentral